Molecule: ribosomal RNA, 536 nt
Filed under: uncultured bacterium
Lineage: Bacteria
Description: bacterial SSU rRNA
Rfam family: Bacterial small subunit ribosomal RNA
Source: RNAcentral
UUGCUNNUGGGCGAAGCCUGAAGCAGCAACGCCGCGUGUGCGAUGAAGGCCUUCGGGUCGUAAAGCACUUUUCUGCGAGAUGAGAAAGGACAGUAUCGUAGGAAUAAGUCUCGGCUAACUACGGGCCAGCAGCCGCGGUAAAACGUAGGAGGCAAGCGUUAUCCGGAUUCACUGGGCGUAAAGCGCGUGCAGGCGGUGCGGUAAGUUGGGCGUGAAAUCUCCCGGCUCAACUGGGAGAGGUCGUCCAAUACUACCGUACUUGAGAGCAGAAGAGGAAGAUGGAAUUCCCGGUGUAGUGGUGAAAUGCGUAGAUAUCGGGAGGAACACCAGUGGCGAAGGCGAUCUUCUGGUCUGUUUCUGACGCUCAGACGCGACAGCUAGGGUAGUAAACGGGAUUAGAGACCCCGGUAAUCCUAGCCGUAAACGAUGUGAACUUGGCGUUGGUGGGUUAAACUCCAUCAGUGCCGCAGCAAACGCGAUAAGUUCACCGCCUGGGGACUACGGCCGCAAGGUUAAAACUCAAAAAAAUUGACGGA